GACGAACGCUGGCGGCGUGCCUAAUACAUGCAAGUCGAACGCUUCUUUCCUCCCGAGUGCUUGCACUCAAUUGGAAAGAGGAGUGGCGGACGGGUGAGUAACACGUGGGUAACCUACCCAUCAGAGGGGGAUAACACUUGGAAACAGGUGCUAAUACCGCAUAACAGUUUAUGCCGCAUGGCAUAAGAGUGAAAGGCGCUUUCGGGUGUCGCUGAUGGAUGGACCCGCGGUGCAUUAGCUAGUCGGUGAGGUAACGGCUCACCAAGGCCACGAUGCAUAGCCGACCUGAGAGGGUGAUCGGCCACACUGGGACUGAGACACGGCCCAGACUCCUACGGGAGGCAGCAGUAGGGAAUCUUCGGCAAUGGACGAAAGUCUGACCGAGCAACGCCGCGUGAGUGAAGAAGGUUUUCGGAUCGUAAAACUCUGUUGUUAGAGAAGAACAAGGACGUUAGUAACUGAACGUCCCCUGACGGUAUCUAACCAGAAAGCCACGGCUAACUACGUG
Molecule: ribosomal RNA, 508 nt
Filed under: uncultured bacterium
Lineage: Bacteria
Description: partial 16S ribosomal RNA
Rfam family: Bacterial small subunit ribosomal RNA
Source: RNAcentral